AUUGAACGCUGGCGGCAGGCCUAACACAUGCAAGUCGAGCGGAUGAAGAGAGCUUGCUCCUGGAUUCAGCGGCGGACGGGUGAGUAAUGCCUAGGAAUCUGCCUGGUAGUGGAGGAUGAGGUACCAAUCCGGGCCCUAUUAUCGCACACGACCUAUGGUAGAACGUGAGGGUUCUUCAGACAUCACCGUCUCUGCUGUGCCUAUGUCGGAUUAGCUAGUCGGUGGGGUAAAGGCCUACCAAGCCGACGUUCCGUAACCGGUCUAAGAGGAUGAUCAGUCACACUAGAACUGAGACACGGUCCAGACUCCUACGGGAGGCAGCAGUAGGGAAUAUUGGACAAUGGGCGAAAGCCUGAUGCAGCCAUGCCGCGUGUAUGAAGAAGGUCUUCGGAUUGUAAAGCACUUUUAGUAGGGAGGAAGACCUGUAAGUGAAAACCUUGCUGUUUUGACGGUACCAACCGAGUAAGCAACGGCUAACUACGUG
RNAcentral lists this ribosomal RNA (484 nucleotides) under uncultured bacterium. Its description in RNAcentral is "partial 16S ribosomal RNA". It matches the Rfam family "Bacterial small subunit ribosomal RNA", at positions 30 to 507 of the family's 1533-position model. The record is from RNAcentral.